Molecule: ribosomal RNA, 447 nt
Filed under: uncultured Eubacteriales bacterium
Lineage: Bacteria; Bacillati; Bacillota; Clostridia; Eubacteriales
Description: bacterial SSU rRNA
Rfam family: Bacterial small subunit ribosomal RNA
Source: RNAcentral
AGCAUGUGGUUUAAUUCGAAGCAACGCGAAGAACCUUACCAGGUCUUGACAUCCCUGACAACCGAGAGAUCGGGCGUUCCCCCUUCGGGGGACAGGGUGACAGGUGGUGCAUGGUUGUCGUCAGCUCGUGUCGUGAGAUGUUGGGUUAAGUCCCGCAACGAGCGCAACCCCCGUUCUGUGUUGCCAGCGUAAAGUCGGGCACUCACAGGAGACUGCCGGAGACAAUUCGGAGGAAGGUGGGGAUGACGUCAAAUCCUCAUGGCCCUUAUGACCUGGGCUACACACGCGCUACAAUGGCCUGUACAGAGGGAAGCGAAAGAGCGAUCUGGAGCGAAUCUCACAAAACAGGUCUCAGUUCGGAUUGCAGGCUGAAACCCGCCUGCAUGAAGCCGGAAUUGCUAGUAAUCGCAGAUCAGCUACGCUGCGGUGAAUACGUUCUCGGGCCUU